CGGGUGCGUAACGCGUAUGCAACCUGCCUCUUACUGGGAGAUAGCCCAGAGAAAUUUGGAUUAAUAUCCCAUAGUAUCUUAAGGCCGCAUGGUUUAAAGAUUAAAGUUCCGAUGGUAAGAGAUGGGCAUGCGUGACAUUAGCUUGUUGGUGAGGUAACGGCUCACCAAGGCGACGAUGUCUAGGGGGUCUAAGAGGAUGAUCCCCCACACUGGCACUGAGAUACGGGCCAG
This 231-nucleotide ribosomal RNA is filed under the name uncultured bacterium. RNAcentral describes it as "partial 16S ribosomal RNA". It matches the Rfam family "Bacterial small subunit ribosomal RNA", at positions 103 to 334 of the family's 1533-position model. The record is from RNAcentral.